UGACAUAGUAAGGGCGACUGAAAUGUCACGAGCUCAGCAUGUGAAUCAGUGUUUGCCUUAGUAAGCACUGAAUUGUGGUCUUACGGUUGUUGCGCCAUUUCGUCCAGACCAUGUUUUUUGGAAUAAAAUAGCAAAGAGGGUGAAACUCCUGUUUGUCUGGUCACACGAAGCAAGAACCAYUGAGUCGAGUUGUUUGGGAUUGCAGCUCAAAUGUGGUGGUAAAUUCCAUCUCAAGCUAAAUAUUGGUGGGAGACCGAUAGCGUACAAGUACCGUGAGGGAAAGAUGCAAAGAACUUUGAAAAGAGAGUGAAAGAGUACCUGAAAUUGCUGAAAAGGAAGCGAACGAAGCUAGUGAAAGCUACGUCAUACUUUCCAACUUGCUUGCAAGUCGGACGCUGUGGCGAGCCUAGUUCGAUUGAAUUGCUCCAUGUGAAAGCAGGCAAAGAAAAGACACCCAUUCUCUUU
RNAcentral lists this ribosomal RNA (465 nucleotides) under Pinnularia borealis complex sp. RNAcentral describes it as "partial 28S ribosomal RNA". The record is from RNAcentral. Lineage: Eukaryota; Bacillariophyta; Bacillariophyceae; Sellaphorales; Pinnulariaceae.